GACAGAGGGUGCAAACGUUGUUCGGAAUACUGGCGUAAGCGUGAUGUAGGCGGCUACAUAAGUCGGAUGUGAAAGCCCCGGGCUCAAACCCCGGGGAAGUGCCACUCGAGUACUGCGUAGCUUGAGUCUCCGGAGAGGUUGGUGGGAAUUCUCGGGUGUAGAGGUGAAAUCGUAGAUAGUCGAAGAGGAACAGACCGGCUGGCGGAAAGG
This 210-nucleotide ribosomal RNA is filed under the name uncultured bacterium. RNAcentral describes it as "partial 16S ribosomal RNA". It matches the Rfam family "Bacterial small subunit ribosomal RNA", at positions 524 to 739 of the family's 1533-position model. The record is from RNAcentral.